Molecule: long non-coding RNA, 436 nt
Filed under: Homo sapiens (human)
Lineage: Eukaryota; Metazoa; Chordata; Mammalia; Primates; Hominidae
Description: HSALNT0005151
Source: RNAcentral
CGGGAAUUCCAAAGCUCCCCACACAUGAGCUCAUGGAUGGCCAGGUGCCCAGCCUUGCAGUUCAUGGCUUUGGAAUGCGUUCUCUGAGCUGGCCUGCUUCAGUACCCCCAUCUCACCACAGCAAGUACUGCUGCCUGCUCUUGGCCCUCCAAAGACAGGCAAAUCCCAUAAAGAAAACUUUACACUGAAAGUUAAUCCACUGAAGCGGAGCCCAAAAUAAGCGCACUGCCUAAUGUGCCGGGAACUGCCGGUCGCAAGGCCAGGCUGCUAGCGGAUGCCGGCGCAUCUCCGCCCGCCCGGAGCCUGCAUUUAGCGCCAGCGAGGGAGUCUGGGCUGGAGCGCUGCUUUCACACCGACUCGAGCCGCGAGUUUAUGGAUCUUGAUUGCACCCAGCAGGGAAUCCUUUUUAGUGAUGAGAGAAAAAAUAUUCAACAAC